GUUUUCCGGUAAGGUGUAGCGGUUAUCACGUCUGCCUAACACGCAGAAGGUCCCCGGUUCGAUCCCGGGCGGAAACA
Non-coding RNA from Schistocerca piceifrons (Central American locust), 77 nucleotides. The record is from the annotation of a RefSeq genome assembly. Lineage: Eukaryota; Metazoa; Arthropoda; Insecta; Orthoptera; Acrididae.